RNAcentral lists this ribosomal RNA (322 nucleotides) under uncultured eukaryote. RNAcentral describes it as "partial 18S ribosomal RNA". It matches the Rfam family "Eukaryotic small subunit ribosomal RNA", at positions 1470 to 1796 of the family's 1831-position model. The record is from RNAcentral.
CCCUUAGAUGUUCUGGGCCGCACGCGUGCUACACUGAGUAAAUCAAUGGGUAAGGGAACACGAAAGUGCAACCUAAUCUUGAAAUUUGCUCGUGAUGGGGAUCGACGGUUGCAAUUUUCCGUCGUGAACGAGGAAUACCUUGUAGGCGCGUGUCAUCAUCACGCGCCGAAUACGUCCCUGCCCUUUGUACACACCGCCCGUCGCUCCUACCGAUUGAGUGAUCCGGUGAGGCUCUGGGACCUGGACGGAAAGAGCGUUUCGCUUGUUCUGUUUGGGAAACUUGGUCGAACCUUAUCGUUUAGAGGAAGGAGAAGUCGUAACA